This 1579-nucleotide ribosomal RNA is filed under the name human gut metagenome. Its description in RNAcentral is "bacterial LSU rRNA". It matches the Rfam family "Bacterial large subunit ribosomal RNA", at positions 913 to 2407 of the family's 2925-position model. The record is from RNAcentral.
AAUGGGCUAGGGGCCGAGAGGUUACUGAACCCUAUCAAACUCAGAAUGCCGGAUAAUCGUAUACGGGAGUCAGACAGCGUGAGAUAAGUUUCGUUGUCGAAAGGGAAACAGCCCAGAUCCACAGCUAAGGUCCCUAAACACGAUUAAGUGGAGAAGGAUGUGGAGUUGCACAGACAACCAGGAUGUUGGCUUAGAAGCAGCCACUCAUUAAAAGAGUGCGUAAUAGCUCACUGGUCGAGUGACUCUGCGCCGAAAAUUCAACGGGGCUAAAUCGUGUACCGAAGCUUGGGAUUCCAGGUACUGAACAAUGCAUACAGGUGAAGCGGAAAGAGGAAUCUGGCGGCGGCGAAGCCGACGCAAAAUUCCCUCUCAGGAAAAAGCGUGAAAACGCAGAGACGAGGGAGAGGGAAAGGCGGCGAAGCCGACGCGAAAUUACUUUAAGCUAAACGUGUAUGGGAUUGUUCAGUAUCUGGAGUGGUAGGAGAGCGUUCCAUAAGGGGGGAAGUCAGAGCGGAAGCGCUGGUGGACUUUAUGGAAGUGAGAAUGCCGGAAUGAGUAGCGCGAAUUAUGUGAGAAUCAUAAUGGCCGAAAGUCUAAGGUUUUUGAAGGAAGGUUCGUCCGCUUCAAGAUAGUCGGGAGCUAAGGCGAGGCCGAGAGGCGUAGUCGAUGCACAAACGGUUGAUAUUCCGUUACCGUCAAAAGAUUUAAGCAAGGGGACACUGGGAAAGCGCAUAACCCGGGCGAUGGUAGCCCCGGGCGAAAGGGACUGAAAUUCAAGUAGGGAAGUAUGCGUAGACUCAGGCGAGAAAAGCCUUGUGUAUAUCUGCGAUGCCCGUACCGCAAACCGACACAGGUAGAUAGGAAGAGAAUUCUAAGGCCAACGGGAGAAGGGUAGUUAAGGAACUCGGCAAAUUGACCCCGUAACUUCGGGAAAAGGGGUGCUCCAGAGAUGGAGCCGCAGUGAAUAGGCCCAGGCAACUGUUUAGCAAAAACACAGGUCUCUGCGAAAUCGAAAGAUGAAGUAUAGGGGCUGACACCUGCCCAGUGCUGGAAGGUUAAGAGGAGGCGUGCAAGCGCCGAAUUGAAGCCCCAGUGAACGGCGGCCGUAACUAUAACGGUCCUAAGGUAGCGAAAUUCCUUGUCGGGUAAGUUCCGACCCGCACGAAUGGUGUAAUGAUCUGGGCACUGUCUCAACUACCCGCCCGGCGAAAUUGUAGUACCGGUGAAGAUGCCGGUUACCCGCGACAAGACGGAAAGACCCCAUGGAGCUUUACUGUAGCUUGAUAUUGGGUUUCGAUAUUUUAUGUACAGGAUAGGCGGGAGGCUAGGAAACACCGGCGCCAGCUGGUGCGGAGCCACCCUUGGGAUACCGCCCUUAAAGUAUUGGAAUUCUAACCUGCGGCCGUGAAUCCGGCCGGGGGACAUUGUCAGGUGGGCAGUUUGACUGGGGCGGUCGCCUCCAAAAGAGUAACGGAGGCGCUCAAAGGUCCGCUCAGCACGGACGGAAACCGUGCCUUAGAGUGUAAACGCAUAAGCGGGCCUAACUGCGAGACCGACGGGUCGAGCAGUAACGAAAGUU